AGCCAACCUUUUUGCCUUUCCCAGUUGUGUUCUAAUAGAAUCAAAGAAUUGAAGGACCAGAAGGAACCUGUGAGAUCAUCAAGUCUGGUCCCCUGCCAUGGGCAGGAAGUUAUUGGGCUCAAACAAGCUCCAC
Molecule: long non-coding RNA, 133 nt
Organism: Gavialis gangeticus (Gharial)
Lineage: Eukaryota; Metazoa; Chordata; Crocodylia; Gavialidae
Exons: 4
Source: RefSeq, a predicted model, not a curated record